RNAcentral lists this ribosomal RNA (331 nucleotides) under uncultured Lactobacillus sp. Its description in RNAcentral is "bacterial SSU rRNA". It matches the Rfam family "Bacterial small subunit ribosomal RNA", at positions 209 to 525 of the family's 1533-position model. Lineage: Bacteria; Bacillati; Bacillota; Bacilli; Lactobacillales; Lactobacillaceae. The record is from RNAcentral.
CUGCUAUCACUCUUGGAUGGGACCUGCGGUGCAUUAGCUAGUUGGUAGGGUAACGGGCCUACCAAGGCGAUGAUACAUAGCCCGAGUUGAGAGACUGAUCGGCCACAUUGGGGACUGAGACACGGCCCAAACUCCUACGGGAGGCAGCAGUAGGGAAUCUUCCACAAUGGACGCAAGUCUGAUGGAGCAAACGCCGCGUGAGUGAAGAAGGGUUUCGGCUCGUAAAGCUCUGUUGUUGGUGAAGAAGGACAGGGGUAGUAACUGACCCUUUGUUUGACGGUAAUCAAAUUAGAAAGUCACGGCUAACUACGUGCCAGCAGCCGCGAUAAAU